CUCAGAUCAUUGCCACUGUUUUGUUUUUAGGCCCAUCUCCCUACCUUUUUUCCCUUUUCCCUUUCCUGAGGCGUGGGUGCGUGGGUCUGUGGGUCUGCCGCCCCCCAUUAGUCACGGAACUGGGCCAAACCUGCCUGUAAACUGUUGACAAACAUAUAUCCUUUUAUGGGUGUUGUUGUGUUUUGUUGUCAAUGAGACUAACGAUUCAAGUAUUAGGCAGCAUGCCUCAGUGUGAUGAGGAACAUUUGCACAGACCCCAGGAAAGACAAGCCAAGUUCCUCCUGACUAUGAAAGCAAAGCAAACACAGCAAAAGCUCAGUGUUUUGACCCACUGCAAACUGUAUCAAGCUAUGGCUGAUAAACCUGUAAGGAUCUUUACUCAUCGUUUGUUUCACCUGAUAUCCCUCCCUGCCCCCUUGGUCCCCAUUAUGCUCCAAUUUCACCCAGCUGUAUUCCCUGCAGAGCUUUAUCAGUCUCAGAAGGGGGGUGUAGCAAGUUUUUUCUGAGCUUUGUUGAGCAGAUGUGGUUAGAACCUCACCUCUAAGGCUUACCUCUUUGCUAAAGUAAUUCCCUGAUACCGCACUGCAAACAGGAUGGGCCUAAAUCUAUGUAACUGACUACUUUUAGCUGCUCUCAAAUGUUUGUUGUUUAGGAAAAAAAAAAAAAAAAAAGGAACCAAAAUAUAUUUAUCAGUUUUCUUUUAAAAAGAAGAUUUCAUCAGUUAUGUACUUCAGCUCAUUGCUGAUUGUAUGUGUGGUGCAAGGCAAUGGCGCUGUUUUUUUAUAAGAAGAAUUCCUUAUGGAUGAGAGUUCUUCCAGAACCAGUGAAUUCCUACAGGAAGAUUUCAGAAUAAAACAACCAAAUGCUGUUUCCAGCCCUGUUCUAGGCUUGGAGGGUGUUGGGAGACCCUCUCUUGUCUUACAGUGCAGGAGUGUCAGGAUCCAUGGGUGGUACGCCUUGUGUUCCAUCUGCUGCAUCUGCGCCAUUUACCAUCAGGUUGAAGAGGUUCCCCAUGUACAUGAUAGCUCUAUGCUUUGGAAUCCUAAAGUAGGCAUUUCUAUUAUUGAGACCUCUUCUUUGAUAUCGAUAGUUGAGGUGUUUUUCUCUUGCAGUAUCUGAAAAUUAAAGUUCAGGCGUUAAAGGGAUUAUUUGCAGAGGUCUUUGUAUGCCCUGGGCUUGAUUUCUCAUUUGCACGAUUCUAAAUGAGAAUAAUACUGACAAAGUGAGAAAAGAAUCAGGCCAGAAUAUGUUAAUUUACAUUUUCAGCUUCAGAGCAAAACACAAAUGUACUCUUCAGGCAAAUUUUAAUAAGCUUUUGGUCUUUGAAAAUGUAAAUAAUUUAUUGAGAUUCUACUGCAUUUGCCAUGUUUCAGAGGAGUAAAUGCUAAAAUCCACAAUAUAAAAUAACUCAGAAACAAUGGAAGUGGAUGGAACAGUGACAAAAACAUGCAUUACGACCUUAAAAUAUUAGUUAAUAACACUGAAUUGAGUUAGGGAAUGUAGAUCCAAACAUGAAAGAUAUUUCCCACUUUUGUUUUAAGGGCAGCUUCAACUGAUACUUUGUUUACCCCUAAUUUUCUGCUGUAUCAUGCUUCCAGUUCUCAGUAGUUUUGAGACAGAUAAUGGAUGGCAGAACUUGGUCUUAGUAUUUCUAACAAAAUGUCCUUAAACUAAACAACUCUUUCUAUCUGAAGAAUCUUUGUGACAUCCCAGUGUUUGAGUAUUUUCUGCAAUGCUAUUUUUUCUCUAGAUGUAAUAAUUGUAUCAUUCAAGAAUGAAAAAGAAGGGGAGGAAACAGUUUGACUAAUGUAUAAAUAAAAUCUGGCUAUUUAGCGCUCUUAAAUCUGUG
This is a long non-coding RNA of Numida meleagris (helmeted guineafowl), 1849 nucleotides long. The record is from Ensembl. Lineage: Eukaryota; Metazoa; Chordata; Aves; Galliformes; Numididae.